CCUAACGUCUGGGAGCGGCCUGCUUUGGGCCGGGCCUUGGCGCAGGCCGCGGCCCUGUGGGCGCUGCCAGGCCCGGGGAGGGGGGUGUCGUGUCCCCCCCCUCCUUCGCCGCCAUCGCCUCAGCCCCGCAGCUGCAGCCCGCCUCGCCUGCGGGGAAAAGCUUCAAAACUCCAAACUUCCCCUUUGUGGACCCACCGCACCGCGGGCCGGAGCACCAGAAAUAGCUUCUUUCCUGGCUGGGAGAAAAAAUCUUAUUUCAAAUGGUGCUGCUGAUGUCCUCUGCUCCACAGCAAAGCUUCAAGCAUGGGAGAGAGAGAAGGAGGCUACUUUCUGCUCAUGAAUGGCUACCAAACAUGCCCAGCAGAUGAAGGUGUUGGUGCUACCCCACGCCGGGGCUCGGAGCCAGCAAAGGGAGGGAGUGGACAAAGCAAACAGCUCAUUCCAGGCCCCAGCAAGGACCCCGGCUCGUUUCACUGUGAUAUACACUAAGACUCAACUCACACCCAGGGUCUGAAAUCUCUUUAUUUCCCUCUCUGCACACUUGGAAUGAGACGGGCCCAGCCCCGACCUGGCAGAGUCUUUUACUGACCUUGUUGAUGUGUCAGCGGCGAUGGCAGUCGGCUUGCUUCAGAGGGACCAUCAAAACAAAACAAUUCAGUGCAAUUAAUUCCUUCUCCCAGGGGAAGGGCUGGAUGAGGUUAAGUGAUUUGCCCCAGGAUCCUUCAGCAGAGCAGGUAGAAACCAGGCAGCAUCGGGAGUUUCACAUCUCUGCUAUCUCCCAGGGCCGUUCCAUGUCCACCCACAGCGACCAGCAUCGUCCCUCCAGGCUCAGUCUCUCUGUCCUGGUGUCCAGCCCUGUUGUGCUCCCCCUGAACAUCACCCCAAGCCCAUUCUGAGCACAGCCCCACAGACCUCAGCAGUUUGUUCUUCUGGAGUUUAAGAUGGUCUAAAUGGAGCUACACCAAGGACUCUGUAGCGCUGGGGUGUGUGGCCAGGAGAUAUGGCCAGUGCCAGACCCUCACAGAAUCUUCUAGGUUGGAAGGGACCUUAAAGAUCAUCUUGUCCAACUGUCAACCUAACUGACAAAAAUAGACACCCACACAACAAACAAGGAGCAUCAUCACUAAACCAGACCUCCCAGCACUACAUCAACCCUCGUGUGUGAGGAAGGAUUUUCCACCUCCCCCUCGCUUCCCCGAGCACUGACCUGUUCCCAGCGCCACACCAUGCAGGGGGGAGGCAGGUCCCUGCGCCAGCCCCAGCUGGAGAUGUGUCCCCAUCCCUCCUCUCCUGCCCCAGGUAAGGACAGCGGGAUUACUGGAGCCCAGCAAAGGGCUGGUGGGGGCUAUAAAUCACAGCCCAAGCUUGCGGUGACAGGGACAGCGCCGCGUGUGGGAUGAAGGCUCACAGGGAGCACCAGACGUGGUCACCAACAGGACACAAGAAAGAAAAGGAAACGUGGUCGGGACAAGAAGCCAAGAUCUCGCAGUUCCACCAAGGGCUUAGAAAUAAUCUUCUUGAUAAAUUUAUUUGGAUUGCAGCAGCGCGUACGCUGCGGGCAGCUCUCUAAACACGGGGACAGAAACUCCUCCACCUUCUCUAAACCUCGCAGCCUGCGGCGGCACAGCGGUGCCAGGGGAAUGACGUCCCAACACCCCGAUGUGCCCACAGCGGGAGGGAGAACUGAGCAUAAACCUCCUGAGUCACGGCUUGGGAGCUCGCAGGAGCGGCCGCCGUCCUCCUGGCAGCCACAUUUGCCCUGCAGACGGGGAGAACAACAAUCCUGCGGGGCAGAACCAGAGCCAAGGUUUCCCAAAUCUUCCCAUUCCGGAGCCGGUUAUCUGCGGCACACGCUCUACCUGCUCAGGCUGAAAUUCUGGUAUUUCUGAACACCGGGUAUUUGAUUUUGCAAUUUUAAUAAUCGCCUCUUCAGCCCAGUGGUUUUUCUGUGUAACAAUCACUAGAAAACACUCUUCAGCCUCCUACUAAGUUACGAUAAAAGCUAUUUAGAGACAAAAGUUUGGGCACAAAAUAGGGGCAGAUAUUUGAAGGCUGGAGCCAUCCCUCCGCCUGCAGCCCAAGGGUCACCGGAGCCCACCCAGACCCCGCAUGACAUCUCUCUGAGCAUCAACACUGCUGAGAUUUUCCCUUUUUAAAUCCUUUACAUCUAUCUCAGCUGUGAAUUGCAGGAUUUUGAGGUGACCUGCAUCACUCCCCUGGCUGCUGAGGAUGAGCAUCGGGACGCAAAGGAGCCACACAGGGCAGCAAAGGAGCCACACAGGGCAGCAA
Calidris pugnax (ruff) is the source of this 2289-nucleotide long non-coding RNA. RefSeq lists it as uncharacterized. The transcript is spliced from 4 exons. The record is from RefSeq and is a predicted model, not a curated record. NCBI's taxonomy places the organism in Eukaryota, Metazoa, Chordata, Aves, Charadriiformes, Scolopacidae.